GGGAGUUUGGCCGAGUGGUUAAGGCGUUGCGUUUAGGUUAAACCUAGAUACCGAAUCCGCAAUGGACAUUGUCCGCGCAAGUUCGAUCCUUGCAGCUCUCA
Molecule: transfer RNA, 101 nt
Rfam family: tRNA
About the family: Transfer RNA (tRNA) molecules are approximately 80 nucleotides in length. Their secondary structure includes four short double-helical elements and three loops (D, anti-codon, and T loops).
Source: Rfam